CUGCUGCCUUCCGUAGGAGUUUGGGCCGUGUCUCAGUCCCAAUGUGGCCGGCCACCCUCUCAGGUCGGCUACUGAUCGUCGCCUUGGUGGGCCUCUACCCCGCCAACCAGCUAAUCAGACGCGGAUCCAUCUCAUACCGCCUCAGCUUUUCACACCGAGACAUGCAUCUCUGUGCGCUUAUGCGGUAUUAGCAGUCAUUUCUAACUGUUAUCCCCCUGUAUGAGGCAGGUUAU
RNAcentral lists this ribosomal RNA (233 nucleotides) under uncultured bacterium. RNAcentral describes it as "partial 16S ribosomal RNA". The record is from RNAcentral.